Zea mays is the source of this 590-nucleotide long non-coding RNA. RefSeq lists it as uncharacterized. NCBI's taxonomy places the organism in Eukaryota, Viridiplantae, Streptophyta, Magnoliopsida, Poales, Poaceae. The record is from RefSeq and is a predicted model, not a curated record. The transcript is spliced from 4 exons.
GAGUCUUGCUCAGUAAGCGCUAUCUUUGUCAGGAUAUCCCUACCACGACUCCAAGGAAGACGAGGACUACGCGCGUGACGGAGAGCGAGGACGACUGCAAAGCCUCUCAACGUGCUGCCAGGUCCAGUGGAGUUCAGAGUCAAGUUCAGUCAUCUACCUCUGUUAAACUAUCUGGAUUUCACAAGAGAGUUAUAGCCAAUUCAAGCUACGCAGAGAUUCCUGUACUGCUGGACACAUAGGAUGCUUGGAAACCUCGGACCACAGCACCGUUCAUUUCAACCCAGAUCAUCACACUACAUACCACUUGAAGACUAUUCGACGUUCGUUGAUUCAAAUUCCAAGGCGUCGUUUCAUCGACAGAUUUCUUGAGAACAGAUGGGCACAUUUCGCAACUGUGAUAUCGGAUUGAGACAUGUGUUCUAGCUUGUUAUAGUAGAUACUUUGUUAGUUAUGUAUUAGAUGAAACUUAGUAAUAAUGAUUUGUGCUCUAUUUGUAUUAGUCGUGUGUCUGGUCUUAAUGGUGACUGCUUUGUAUAAAACUAUGUGACAUCUCUGUGAGCUAAUAAAUAAGUUCACCAUCAUUAGUUUUC